CGUGUAGGCGGCUCGCUAAGUCUGAUGUGAAAGCCCGGGGCUCACCCCCGGAAGGGCAUUGGAAACUGGCGGACUCGAGUCCCGGAGAGGAGGGUGGAAUUCCUGGUGUAGCGGUGAAAUGCGUAGAUAUCAGGAGGAACACCGGUGGCGAAGGCGGCCCUCUGGACGGUGACUGACGCUGAGACGCGAAAGCGUGGGGAGCAAACAGGAUUAGAUACCCUGGUAGUCCACGCUGUAAACGAUGAGCACUAGGUGUCGUGGGUAUUGACCCCCGCGGUGCCGCAGCUAACGCAUUAAGUGCUCCGCCUGGGGACUACGGCCGCAAGGUUAAA
This 332-nucleotide ribosomal RNA is filed under the name uncultured bacterium. Its description in RNAcentral is "bacterial SSU rRNA". It matches the Rfam family "Bacterial small subunit ribosomal RNA", at positions 568 to 898 of the family's 1533-position model. The record is from RNAcentral.